CCUUGUUGCUUCGGCGGGCCCGCCGAUCAGGCCGCCGGGGGGCAUCCGCCCCCGGGCCCGCGCCCGCCGAAGACACCAU
This 79-nucleotide ribosomal RNA is filed under the name Penicillium brefeldianum. Its description in RNAcentral is "partial 18S ribosomal RNA". The record is from RNAcentral. Lineage: Eukaryota; Fungi; Ascomycota; Eurotiomycetes; Eurotiales; Aspergillaceae.